RNAcentral lists this long non-coding RNA (248 nucleotides) under Vigna radiata. Its description in RNAcentral is "long non-coding RNA (VRAD_LNC000306)". The record is from RNAcentral. Lineage: Eukaryota; Viridiplantae; Streptophyta; Magnoliopsida; Fabales; Fabaceae.
UUAAAGAAGAGAAUCUAUAUUAACUUUUCUUUACUCAAAUAUCACUUUGUUGCUUGAACAACAUCACUUAUUUCACACUCCCUCGUAUUCCAAACAACAAUAAAAACUUUAACUCUUUAUCACUUAAUAAAUCAUCUAUGGAUUGAAUGAUAGGACCCCAAAUAAAAAUCAUUUUCUUAUUAUUUCUCUUUCUCAAGUCAUAAAUCACAAGUAUUAUCAAUUAAAUAAUCACAACAUCUUUACUGAUG